Pelobates cultripes (western spadefoot toad) is the source of this 593-nucleotide non-coding RNA. Lineage: Eukaryota; Metazoa; Chordata; Amphibia; Anura; Pelobatidae. The record is from the annotation of a GenBank genome assembly.
GUUCUGUACUUUUUUGCCUUGAAGGUUUUAUACAUUCCAAAUUAGAGGAUUCUCUGUAUGUAUAUAUUUUAAUUAUUAUUUGCACUGUUUGGGCGCGUUUAACCACUUUUGUCUCUUAUGUAGUUGUAACCAGACAAGUUGGACACACAGGAACAGAGGGGUUGAGGGCCCUGCUCAAUGAGCUUACAUGCUAGAGGGAGUGGGGUAAAAUGACACAAAAAGGUAAUUUUACCCCAUUGUACCUCAUUUUACCUCAUUCAAGCGUGGCCAUUGCUGCACAUGCGCAUUAGGUCUCCUCCUGAUGUCAAAGGGGGAGGAGCGUGGGUAAUGACUGGCCAGCGCCGAAGGACAUCGACGCUGGAUUCAGGUAAGUGACUAAAGGGGAUUUAAUCCCUUCAGUACCGCAGGAGGGGGCGGGGGGGGGCACGAGGGCACUGCAGGAGCCUAUAGUGCCAGGAAAACUGCUUUGUUUUCCUGGCAUUAUAGAAUCCCUUUAACUGAGCUAACAAAACCAAGAAGUAACAGCACAGGUUGCCUGACUGACAACUAUGGGGAGGCAGUGUAACAAAGUAAAUCUAUAAAAGUGAAAGCUG